Molecule: small RNA, 260 nt
Filed under: Pan troglodytes (chimpanzee)
Lineage: Eukaryota; Metazoa; Chordata; Mammalia; Primates; Hominidae
Description: Metazoan signal recognition particle RNA (ENSPTRG00000050128.1)
Source: RNAcentral
GCUGGGCAUGGUGGUGCGUGAUUGUAGUCCUAGCUACUUGGGAGGCUGAGGUGGGAGGAUCACUUGAACCCAGGAGUACAAGGCUGCAAUGAGCUAUAAUCGCACCACUGUACUCCAGCCUGGGCAUCAGGGUAAGAGUAAGACCAUGUCACUAUUUUUCUUUUUAAAAGGAAAUUAAAAAAAAAAAAAAAAGGAAAGGCAGGGGGCAGGGGUUAAGAAUUUGAGUGAUAGCCUGGGCAAUAUAGUGAGACCCCAUCUCC